GUCAUAUACCACUGAGAGAGCCAUCUUGAUUCACCAAUUGACUACUGAUUAAGAACUUGUGUUUUACAGAAUUUCAUACUGUUAUGUCCUGCUUAUUUAACCUGGAAAUGUCUCUGUUCUCCUCAACUGUACGUAUUAUAGAGGCAUUUUAGUCUCACUUGAAAUUCAGGAGGUUUAUUGGGAGCACCCUUGUGUGCUUUUGUUGCAAAUGUGGGGAGUAUGUUUUAUUCAUUUUUUUCUCUCUUUUUUUUAUUUUUUUAUUUUUAUUUUUAUUUUUAUAGUUCUUUGGCAUUUCAUUUUAGAGAUAGAUGCUGAUUAGGAAUAGUAUUGAUACCUGAUUUGUUGGAACUCUUCUUAUUUCCUUCUAAUGAUUAUACAUUGUUUCUAGCUAACCAAUCAAAUGGGUAGGAUCUUCCAAUCUAUGGGCAUUUUGUAUGCCUCCCAUCGACAGAGGGUCCAUCAGAUCAAUAGUCUUCCUACCAAAGACCAUAUUUUUCAAUGCACUCUGUAUUGUUGAUGCAGUUACAUCUAAUACUAGAAUAGUAAAUGUUUUUCACAGGCUUAAUUCUGAUGUCUUUGUCUAGCUGCUUAUUCAUGCAGGUCCUGUGGUGUGGUGGGACAUAAUCAAGAUUUCACUCUUUAGAAUCGAAGAGGUAUUUUAGAAUGCUCAGGUGGAGACUUUACAUAGCAUGUUUAGGUUUUCAUAUUGUAAAAGCGGGUAUGAGAGUUUAAGUGUGAACCAUUGCUUUAUUUUCUUUCUUAAACUGUCUAUUUUUUGAGGUUUACUAAUUUUCCUUCUGGGAGAUUUUCCAGCAAGGCCCAAGGUAUUAUUGGUGGACUUUUGUAACUCUCCUAUCUUGCCACUAAACUAUAAUCCAAUGCCAAUCCAGAGUGAUUUUUUUUUUUUGUAGCCCAUCUAUGAUAUAAGUAUUGGAAAGGAACGAAACUAUAAUUUGGAAACAUCAUUCAUUUUGUUAUUUCUUCUUGAUUAAACGGAAUGUUUGCAAUUCAAUUCACUUGUGCAUCUCUGUCAUGCUGACUAUAAUACACUAUUCACAUAAUCAAGAGUACGGGAGCAUUUCUCUUAUCUGUAGAUAUUCGAUAAUAUCUUUGAAUUCCUUUUGUCCUCUUAUCUUCAUAUUCUAAGAGGUUUUCUAUUCUUGAAACUGUGGCAAAGGUUAGGUCAUGUGUUGUGAUGCUGGACCUCAAAUUUGAUGCUUUGAUUCUUGAGAUGUUCCAUCAUUUUCUCAAAGCAAUAAGGUAAUAAGUUUAACUCGAUGCCAUCUUCUGUCUUUUUUAUUUGGAAGAUCUCUCACAAUAUUAAAUUAUGUAACAUUAUGUACCUGCAAAUUUAAAUUUUAACACAAACUCGUUGUAGUAGGAUGGCUUAUGACCACGACAUAAUGACAACAAGGAAUUCUACAUGCCUAUAAACCUUGUAUCUGGUUGUCCUUGGUUGUGAUGCAGCAAAGGUUAUCACCGACAGAGACCCUGGGAGGUAGAGGGGAUUUGGGUUUGUGAAUUUCGCCAGUGAUGAGUUUGCCGGUAAUGCCUUAUCUACAUGGAUGGUGAGAACUAUUUUGUAUUUACCCCUGAUGAUUAAUGGUGCGCAUUCAACAAUUACUUUAAAGACAAGGAACAUCUAUCUGAUCACAAUGCACAACGUUGCAGGCCGCAGACACACACAAUCUCAUUCAAUUUUGCAAGGCUCCCUUCAUCAUUCUAUGAUAUUCUUCGCGAGGAGUAGAACGGCUAUAUGGAGCUCUUUCUGCUCAUAUGUGGCCAGGGAUGAUUUGCAAGGUGUAGAGAUGAACUUUUCUUUGUUUCUACCUUACCUUUUCUUUUUAUUUCUUUUUCUUUGGUUUUUUUUUUUUUUGAAUUCUUUCUACCCUUCCAACAUAAUUGUGUAACCAUAUCUGAGAGACAUGAUGGCACUUGUAAGAGCUUGUAAGAUAUAAUACUCUCUCAUUAUGCAUGUAAUUAAUUAAGUGUGAUGUAUUACUUCUAUUAUUCUUUA
Molecule: long non-coding RNA, 2017 nt
Organism: Magnolia sinica
Lineage: Eukaryota; Viridiplantae; Streptophyta; Magnoliopsida; Magnoliales; Magnoliaceae
Exons: 2
Source: RefSeq, a predicted model, not a curated record